Non-coding RNA from Nothobranchius furzeri (turquoise killifish), 1195 nucleotides. NCBI's taxonomy places the organism in Eukaryota, Metazoa, Chordata, Actinopteri, Cyprinodontiformes, Nothobranchiidae. The record is from RefSeq and is a predicted model, not a curated record.
ACCUGAGUUAUAAUUGCAUAAAAACACUGAAUUCAUCUGAAGAGCUGUUUUUCCUCCCUGAGUCUGUUUGUUUAUAGAAUCACUCAUUUGGAUCUGAACUACUACUACAGAGAAGGAGGGACUGCAGGAUGCUUCAGUUGCAGCAAUAGAUGUUUUUGCCCAAAACCAGAAGUACAUAACCACGGGGAAUUCUUUCUUAACGUCGAGGUUACAUUUUAAACAACAGGUCAGCACUGGAAUCUGGAAGAGUAACAAUAAUGGUUGUACCUGGCCAUGUAGGAUUGCUGUUAUUGGAAGGCCAUAGACCUCCUGAUUGGUUGUUGCCAUCAGAUGGCCAAUCGAGAGCAUCUGAGAGCUUAAGUGAGACAGAACAAGAGAGGAGAAACUUUUUCAAGUUAGACACAUUCUCCUUUCCAGCAGCUGACCGACCCAACAACACUUCAUGACUGCCUUGUUUUGGGCAGUCACUCCUAUUGACUCUCUGCUUAGACCUUCUGGCUCCUGCAUGACCUCUCUAUGGCUUGUGUUGGGAAGUAUUGUCUGAAGAAAUCAUUGCCUGGACAUUUUUUAUUCUAAUUAUUAUCUUUAAUAAUUUGUCUCCCAUCAUUUUCAAAUAAAAACACUGCUCUGAAUAAUCAGCUGAACAGAGUGUGUUGAGCUGUGUGUCAGGUGAGGUUCAGGUAAAUCCCACCAGGUGGUGAUAUACAUAUAUGUCUAUAGGCUCGUCAGUAGGUGGCAGACGUGUGCAAAACAAAUCAAACUAACAUCCAGAGACAAUCACACACAGGAACAAAUCAGCUGCAGACUUACAUUCAUCCUGAUCGUCUGGAACCUGGAAGAAACCAAACAGGAAGUAAACAUUUUGAAAGAAAAAACAUAAAUGAUAUCUAAGGUUGUUUACUGCUUAACCCUCUGGAGGCAGGCGUUGACGAUUAGCAACGGUAAAACCUGCCCACCUGGUUACUCCACAUACGUAUUUCAUGAGCAUUUUUAACUCGGGCGUACCCCUGAAGGACUUAGUUGUUCCUCCUUUUAUCAAAACUUAUUUUGAGCCUGAGAGGGUUAAACGGUGCAUUGGUUUCCUUCUCUGGAUGACAUUUCAGCAUCAGUAGGAGGAUGAAACACUUUUACAAGUUUUUGGUGAAAAUGUAAACUUUCAUCAGCCUUUUUUUUUUUUUUUUUUUUUUUUUUGAGG